GAUGAAGAACGUAGCGAAAUGCGAUAAGUAGUGUGAAUUGCAGAAUUCCGUGAAUCAUCGAAUCUUUGAACGCACAUGGCGCCUUCCAGUAUCCUGGGAGGCAUGCCUGUCCGAGCGUCGUUUCAACCCUCGAGCCCCCGUGGCCCGGCGUUGGGGAUCUGCCACGGCAGGCCCCUAAAACCAGUGGCGGACCCGAAGGCCCUCUCCUUUGCGCAGUAGCAUCAGCCUCGCAUUGGGAUCCCUCGGCGUCCUGCCUCUAAACCCCCCACAAGUCCGCUCCGGCGGCACCAAGGUUGACCUCGGAUCAGGUAGGAAUACCCGCUGAACUUAAGCAUAUCAAUAAGCGGAGGA
RNAcentral lists this unclassified non-coding RNA (351 nucleotides) under soil metagenome. Its description in RNAcentral is "partial contains 5.8S ribosomal RNA, internal transcribed spacer 2, and large subunit ribosomal RNA". The stretch from base 1 to 120 matches the Rfam family "5.8S ribosomal RNA", at positions 35 to 154 of the family's 154-position model. The record is from RNAcentral.